UAAAAAAGUAUAAAUAUAAAAAAUAUUUAUCCAAACUCAGUUUGUUAUUAUCUAAAAGUUUACCGCACUAUUUAAUAAUCCCUAGUGAAACUAUUCCCUCGGCAGUAUCGUAGCUGAAAAGAAACCUGCUUUUCUAGCAAAAGUUGCCGACGAAAGUUCUCUAUGAAAAUCUCCGCCCUCUGGUCAAUGUCUUCCUCAGAAGCAUAACUUCUGGUCCUUUGAAGGGCUCGAACUGACUGGUUUUCAUCUGUUUCUACAUCUUCAAUGCACCCAUGCAAUCCUAACCGAUCGUUAAAGCUCAAACGCCGCCGCCUCUUAGAGGCAUUGUGGAUAAUUGAAUCUAAGCGCCACCGCCUGAGGUUAAAGCUUAAUAGAAACUUCAGCUUCUUCACCGCCCUCUUCACGUGGCCUAGCACCUUCAUGUUUGAAGAUCAGGCGAGUGUUUGAUGCAAAGAAGCGAGUG
This 463-nucleotide long non-coding RNA is filed under the name Manihot esculenta (cassava). RNAcentral describes it as "long non-coding RNA (MESC_LNC001362)". Lineage: Eukaryota; Viridiplantae; Streptophyta; Magnoliopsida; Malpighiales; Euphorbiaceae. The record is from RNAcentral.